UACAGAGGUGGCAAGCGUUGUUCGGAAUUACUGGGCGUAAAGAGCUCGUAGGCGGCUUGUCGCGUCGUCCGUGAAAACUUGGGGCUCAACCCCAAGCUUGCGGUCGAUACGGGCAGGCUAGAGUUCGGUAGGGGAGACUGGAAUUCCUGGUGUAGCGGUGAAAUGCGCAGAUAUCAGGAGGAACACCGGUGGCGAAGGCGGGUCUCUGGGCCGAUACUGACGCUGAGGAGCGAAAGCGUGGGGAGCGAACAGG
Molecule: ribosomal RNA, 253 nt
Filed under: uncultured bacterium
Lineage: Bacteria
Description: partial 16S ribosomal RNA
Rfam family: Bacterial small subunit ribosomal RNA
Source: RNAcentral